GCUGGGGUGGCGAAACUGGCAGACGCACCGCGUUUAGGGCGCGGCGCCGCAAGGCAUGAGGGUUCGACCCCCUCCCCCAGCA
RNAcentral lists this transfer RNA (82 nucleotides) under Patescibacteria group bacterium. RNAcentral's name for it is "tRNA-Leu". It matches the Rfam family "tRNA". From Rfam's summary of the family: Transfer RNA (tRNA) molecules are approximately 80 nucleotides in length. Their secondary structure includes four short double-helical elements and three loops (D, anti-codon, and T loops). Further hydrogen bonds mediate the characteristic L-shaped molecular structure. tRNAs have two regions of fundamental functional importance: the anti-codon, which is responsible for specific mRNA codon recognition, and the 3' end, to which the tRNAs corresponding amino acid is attached (by aminoacyl-tRNA synthetases). tRNAs cope with the degeneracy of the genetic code in two manners: having more than one tRNA (with a specific anti-codon) for a particular amino acid; and 'wobble' base-pairing, i.e. permitting non-standard base-pairing at the 3rd anti-codon position. The record is from RNAcentral.